Molecule: long non-coding RNA, 373 nt
Organism: Acipenser ruthenus (sterlet)
Lineage: Eukaryota; Metazoa; Chordata; Actinopteri; Acipenseriformes; Acipenseridae
Exons: 3
Source: RefSeq, a predicted model, not a curated record
AACUGUACCAAUGGCUGUGUUAAGAUCAACCACCUUUUAUAAGCAAAGAUGGAUGGUCAUGAUGGUGGACACUGCAGUUACAUGUCCUACUGAUGGAACGGCCUUCACAGAACAGAUGAUUACAUGGAAUGUUCCCCGUGUUCUACCUCCUCUUGUUCCGACACCACAAAUUACUACCCUUGAUGUCCAAAUGGGAGUUGAUGGCCGCAAGCUUGACCCUGCAACGAUACAUAAUAGAGAUUAUAAACUGGAUGUCGGUCCCCAGCUAAUCACUGUAAAAAUUCCUGUGGGAGCUGAUGGUGGAUAUUACAAGAGCCAUGUAUUGGACAACACCUAUGUGAUCUCUUACUCUACUGAACCAAUGCUGGAGCAU